This 2046-nucleotide unclassified non-coding RNA is filed under the name uncultured fungus. RNAcentral's name for it is "sequence contains 18S rRNA gene, ITS1, 5.8S rRNA gene, ITS2, 28S rRNA gene". The stretch from base 848 to 2046 matches the Rfam family "Eukaryotic large subunit ribosomal RNA", at positions 1 to 961 of the family's 3401-position model. The record is from RNAcentral. Lineage: Eukaryota; Fungi.
GGAUGGAUCAUUCUCAACCAACGAUCUUACCAUCAAAAAAAAAAGGAAAGGGGGGGAAAAAAAAGGAAAAAGGAAACAAACGUUCCCUCUCCUUUCGCCCCCCCCCCGCCCUUUCUUACACACGGCUCAAUUCGGUUAAAGUCCAUAUCUAUUAUUUUUAAACCACUGUUACAAAUCAUUGAAACCUUUUUAAAUUUGUUUUUUUUUUUUUUUUGCAUUGUUUAAUCAACGCAAAAAAAAAAAAAAGAAACAAAAAACAAACAAACAAACAAAAAAAAAAGACUUUUAACAAUGGAUAUCUUGGCUCAGAGGACGAUGAAGAGCGCAGCGAAAUGCGAUACGUAAUGUGAAUUGCAGAAUUCUGUGAAUCAUCAAACUCUUGAACGCAACUUGCGGUGCUGUUGAGGCACCAUGUCUGUUGGAGUGUCGUUAAUAACAACACUCGACGCUCAAGCGGCGGCGGUCAUGUGCGUGCUCUCUCUCUCUCGAGAGAGCUCGCAGCAAAAUGCAUUUAUUAUUUCUCCUCCCCCCCCCCCCUUCUUGUGAUUGGGAACGAGAGAGAGCACUGUUCACUUGAGAUCGGAAACCGCUCAUAACCGACUGACUGCCUCCGCGCACGCACACUGUGUGUGUUGUGGUGGACGACUGAGGUUCUGUGUGUUUUUGGGGGAUUCACUUUCUGAACCACCACACUAACACUGCAGAGUCACCGCGGUCUGUCAUCGUGCAGUUCUUGUUUGGGAGCGGGUUCGGAUCGCUUGGCGGUGCUCACUCACUGAUCGGAACCAAAAAAAACAGGAAGGAAGGAAGGGGAAAAAAGAAAAAAAAACUAUUAUUUUCAAUGCAGCGACCUCCAAUCAGACAAGACAACCCGCUGAAUUUAAGCAUAUAAUUAAGCGGAGGAAAAGAAAACAACCGUGAUUCCCUCAGUAACGGCGAGUGAAGCGGGAACAGGUCAGCGCGAAAAUCUGGGCCUCCGCUGGGAGCUCCGAGUUGUGCGCUUUCGAUGCGGCAUCUGGUCGCCGCCCAGUCAAAGUCCGUUGGAACACGGCGCCGGAGAGGGUGACAGCCCCGUGAAGCGACUGGGAGCAGCAGACGCGGCCUGACGUUGCCGUAUCGUAGAGUCGGGCACUUUGGGAUUUGUGCCUUAACAUGGGAGAUGAAUUCCUCCCAAACCUAAAUAUCACUCUGAGACCGAUAGCGAACAAGUAGCGUGAGCGAAAGAUGAAAAGUACUCUGAAAAGAGAGUCAAAAGGGCUUGAAGUUGUUAAAAUGGAAGCGGAUGGCCUCAGUACUGAUCGUAGGCGCGAAUCAAGGCUCGGCGCACUCGGCGGUGUCCAUUGGCGUCGGUUUGGAAGGCGUGCGUUCGCGCGCGUCGCCCCGGCGUUCCGGACGGCUGUCGUCGGGCUGGUACUUUGCGUCGUGAGCGAUUGGUCAGCAUGAGCGGUGCCGGAUCGCAGAAAGCCGGGUGGUCGUCUCUACGGAAGCCCCUUUCCGAAGGGGUGGAGACGCUCGGUAGGAUCGUAGCGACCGGCGGCCGCUGAGGAAAAAACAAGUUGCAGCUUGUGCCGCAAGGCGGGACGGCCUGCUGUCUGGCGGGGCGCGUGCGGGGGGACUGCGUGCAGUGCUUUCGUGUGCGCUUGGCCACUUCAGGUGGGUGCGGUCACCAGAGACAAGCUCAAGAUGCCUGACAAAAUGGUGUCAUCCGACCCGUCUUGAAACACGGAUCAAGGAGUCCAACAUACGUGCGAGUGCAGAGGUGGCAAACCUCCACGCGUAAUGAAAGUGAAGAGCGGCACUUUGGCCGCUCGAGGUGGGAACCCGUCGCGAGGCGGGUGCACCAUCGACCGAUCUGGAUUCUCGUUAUGAAAGAUUUGAGUAAGAGCACGCAUGCUGGGACCCGAAAGAUGGUGAACUAUGGCUGCGCAGGAUGAAGCCAGAGGAAACUCUGGUGGAGGUCCGUAGGGGUUCUAACGUGCAAAUUGAUCUCUAGACGUGGCUAUAGGGGCGAAAGACUAAUCGAACUAUCUAGUAGCUGGUUCCCUC